UACGCCUGCAUGAGGCAGGGGCCUGCUCAUACCCUUCCUCCUUGCCCCUAAAAAAAUCUAAGAAGAAGAAAAAAACACCUUUCUCCUCCAGCCGUUGCCGGCGGCGCCCCAUCCGCGGCGAAGUCGCCGGUGAGCUGGGCCGUCCGGAAGCAGGGCAUUGCUGCCGCCAUUCAUCCCGCCCAGUACCACAUCUUUCCACUACGCCCCAUCAGCAGGCGCGCCGCCCCUAAUCGCCGGCCUCCAGCGAGGGGAACCGCGUUGCCGACUUCGGCUUCAUCCCCUCAAUCCUCUCGUCGGCGGAGUAGGGACAAGCAUGGCAGGUCAAGGAUAACGAUGGGGAUGGGGAUGAACGUGAACCACACCAACGCCAGGCAAUUCAAUGUAUUGCAAUCUAGCUACAGUCAGACCCAGAAUCUUGAGUCAGCAACCAUCUAGGUACCUGGUGGUUGGGGACAAGCUGAAGUUGACAGCGGUUGGCAGCUGCCUGGAAGCAGCUGGAGUCCUCCUUCACUCGUCAACCCGUCCUCACUCGCCAUAACUCUGCGGUUUGCGUGCAAACGAGGGUGGGCGAAAACCUUGUGAUCUUCGCGAACAUCUCUGUUAAUUGUUAGCUGUUUACUUUUAACACAUUUUGUAGGGCCGAAUCUUAGGUUGCACGACCUUUUUGGUUGUGCCGUUGAUAGAAAUGAAUCUAGCAGCUGGUAUUAGCUGGUUGGAAUUCUAUUUCUGAGUACUGGUAUGUACCUUGUCUCUUCCAAAUUAAUUGUAGUUCUAGUUUGUUAAUUUUUUAGCCUGGUACCACUGUCAAGAAGGGAAAACCACCAUGGUUUAUUUUAAAAUUGCUAAGCAGUCAGCAUUGCAUUAACACAUGAGCAGGUUAAUUAAUUAAGAGUUCCAUUGAAUGAACUGGAUUACUGGAAUAAACAAAGACUUGACCAAGGCUAUACCAUCUAUGUGGCUGAGAUUGUCCUACUGAAUUACCCCGCCUCAUAUAUAUCACAACUGAAAGAUAUCCCAUAAUACGAGUAUUUGGCAAGCUUUGUUAUUUGUUUUAAUUCUAAGCAUGCUUGCCCUUGCUCCUGAGAUAGUCUGAGUGCAUGAAUUCGAAAGUUGGAGGACUAACCCAACACCAUUAACCUUGCUACCCAGAGAAUAGACGCCAGCUUGAUCAAGAUGAUCUUCAAGUACCCCGGGUCUGAAGAAGACUAAUCUAUCCUCUAUUUCAGUCUUUAUCACGAGUAGCUUGCCAGGAUGUCGGGGUCUCGUGGGUACUUCUGUCUUAAAUUAUAGUAUCAAAUUGUUGUUAUGUUUGUAGUUCUGUUCUAGCAGGUUCAAGCUUACUCGAUAACGCAUCUGAUGCGUGAAAGGAAUGGAUGUGAUGGACGCUGACAAAAAUGGCUCCUGCAAGAAGCAUUUCUCAAUACUCCUAUCAGCCGACCUACGUAUCUCGCUGAGAAUGAAACUAGAGUUUUCUGUGGUUCUCCCUACGAUGUCGAAAUGGCUACCGAAAGAGAUCAUACCGCAAGAAUGGUUACAUUUUAGUUCAUGCAGCAUCAGAGAUUUAUAUAUAGUACAGAAAUAUAUUUAAUGGUUGAUCUAAUGAAGCA
Molecule: long non-coding RNA, 1607 nt
Organism: Triticum dicoccoides
Lineage: Eukaryota; Viridiplantae; Streptophyta; Magnoliopsida; Poales; Poaceae
Exons: 3
Source: RefSeq, a predicted model, not a curated record